AUCACUUCUUGGCCUUUUGGCUAGGAUCAAGUGUAGUAUCAGUUGAAGGCUUCGCAUGUCCUCUCUUUGGGGACUCUAUCCUGCCCUGGCAGCAGGCUGGGCUCAGUGACCUCCU
This is a non-coding RNA of Cariama cristata (Red-legged seriema), 115 nucleotides long. Lineage: Eukaryota; Metazoa; Chordata; Aves; Cariamiformes; Cariamidae. The record is from Rfam.